This is a long non-coding RNA of Syngnathus acus (greater pipefish), 228 nucleotides long. RefSeq lists it as uncharacterized. Lineage: Eukaryota; Metazoa; Chordata; Actinopteri; Syngnathiformes; Syngnathidae. The transcript is spliced from 3 exons. The record is from RefSeq and is a predicted model, not a curated record.
AUGACGUCAUUUUUGAGCACUGUUUCAAUGGGGGUAUUUAAAAGCACGCGUAGCCCUGUCGUUCAGGCACGGUUUCUUGCGAAUGUUUCAAAAACCGUAAUUUUGAUCUUAACCUUACUUAGCCUUGUGGUCUUGUGACAUACAACAACAAAGUCAGCUUUCUUAACCAGUUUGGUGUACCUUUUGAGUGGAUUGCAAGACAGGCUCGGCGGAAAUGCUCCAUCUCUG